RNAcentral lists this ribosomal RNA (468 nucleotides) under uncultured bacterium. RNAcentral describes it as "partial 16S ribosomal RNA". It matches the Rfam family "Bacterial small subunit ribosomal RNA", at positions 28 to 507 of the family's 1533-position model. The record is from RNAcentral.
GACGAACGCUGGCGGCGUGCUUAACACAUGCAAGUCGAACGGAAAGGCCCUGCUUUUGUGGGGUGCUCGAGUGGCGAACGGGUGAGUAACACGUGAGUAACCUGCCCUUGACUUUGGGAUAACUUCAGGAAACUGGGGCUAAUACCGGAUAGGAGCUCCUGCUGCAUGGUGGGGGUUGGUAAGUUUCGGCGGUUGGGGAUGUACUCGCGGCUUAUCAGCUUGUUGGUGGGGUAGUGGCUUACCAAGGCUUUGACGGGUAGCCGGCCUGAGAGGGUGACCGGCCACAUUGGGACUGAGAUACGGCACAGACUCCUACGGGAGGCAGCAGUGGGGAAUAUUGCACAAUGGGCGGAAGCCUGAUGCAGCAACGCCGCGUGCGGGAUGACGGCCUUCGGGUUGUAAACCGCUUUCGCCUGUGACGAAGCGUGAGUGACGGUAAUGGGUAAAGAAGCACCGGCUAACUACGUG